Molecule: unclassified non-coding RNA, 221 nt
Filed under: Glomeraceae sp.
Lineage: Eukaryota; Fungi; Glomeromycota; Glomeromycetes; Glomerales; Glomeraceae
Description: partial contains 5.8S ribosomal RNA and internal transcribed spacer 2
Rfam family: 5.8S ribosomal RNA (bases 1-71)
Source: RNAcentral
GUGAAUCAUCAAAUUUUUGAACGCAAAUUGCACUCUCUUGUAUUCCGGAGAGUAUGCCUGUUUGAGGGUCAGUUUAAAUAAAAAUCUGUGUGUUCGCUGCCUUUCGUUGUGACGCGCCUGAUUUGGGUCGUCUUGCUUUCGGUUAACUGCCCUAAAAUUUUGCAUUAUUUUUCCGUACGUUUUUAAUUUAUUUUGCGUACGUUUGCUAUUUCGUAUACUAU